AAAAAAAAAGACAGUGGAGUUGAAAGUGCAUAGCCUAGUAAGACCCACGACGACCUGGACCCUGACAGUUCCCCUGCUCCUUGAUCUGUUCAAGUGAUUGCUCCUCAGCUAAGCCAGCAGGAGGCAGUUUUUUUUUUUUCCUGUAAUGAACCACAUAGUAAAUAUUUUAGGCUUUGCCAGCAACAGUCUCUGUUGUGACCACCCAACUCCGCUGUUGCAGUGAGAAAGUCAGAAACAAUACCACAUGAAUGAGCAUGGCUGUCUUCCAAUCACUUUAUUUGUCGGCUCUGAAAUUUGAAUUUCAUAGAAUUUCCAUGUGUCACGAAAGAUUUCUUCGACGGUUUUUCAACCAUCCAAAAACGUAAAACCCUUUAUUCGCUUGCAGCCCCUACGAAAACAUGGCAGGCGGGAUUUGGCCCAUGACCCACAGUUCACUGAACACUGACAUAAACCAUGUAUGUUCUUUCUUUCACUCGGACCACCCUUCCUGCCCCAGAUCCAUCUUCUUGCAAGUUUAUGUCUGUCCUUUACUUUGACCUCAAUACUUUCCAUUCCUUUUCCUUCAGCGUUCUUUAAUCUCCCCUUUUGCCCCAAAGCUCUUAGGGACCCUGCAUGGUAUUUGGCUUUCUGUAGCCCAGAUGAUCUGUGCUCCUCAUGAUGCUUAGCUGGGUCCGUUUUUUGUCUUUUCUCUAUCUUAUGCCUCCCAAGCAGACUGUAUAUUUCUGGAGGGAGGGCAGAGCUGACAUUUUAUGUCUCCAUGUGUCUCAUAGAGUCAUGCCCUACCCUACUUGGUGUUCAAUAAAUAUUCAGGAACAAAAUGAUACUUUUUAGCCCCUACUCUGCAGGGCUCAGCAGGAUUGUUUUAUGCACAAAGUUCAGAAAUAAAAAGCCAAACCCCAGCAAAAUUGCUUCCUUUUGCAUUCUUCAUUUUGAUGAUGUCUCUAAGGUGUGGUUUCCUAGAUUCUUUAUGCCCCUAAUAUAGUCCAAAUUACCUUAUAUUUCUGUUGUCUCUAAUAGAUAGGAAGUGACAUGUAGGGUACAGAGCCCCCGGUCACCUAGAGUCAUAUACUAAAACCUGUCAGAGUAAGGUAAAGAAUAGACCACACCAGACAUUGGUCUGAAAAGACCCCACUGGUGUGAGUAUUUCCCAGACUCCUCUAGCUUCCCCACUGCCCCACCCCCACCCUACCUCGCUCCCAGCCACCACGCUCACCUUCCUUUGGUUUGUGUAAGUCGUCAACCUCUUUGCCACCUCCAGGACACCUCACAUCUUACUCUCUCUGUGCCCCCUGGCCCACAUAGACACAAUUAGCCUGACAAGGUCCUACCCAGCCAUUAUGCAGGUCUAUCUUCUCAGGCCCCUCAAUCUAUAUAUUAACCCCUCCUUGCCCUCGUUCAUUCUCUUUCCGAGUAGCACCUGCAGGCUUCUACCCUUGAAAUCAUCACACAUCCUCAGCUUACAGUGAUUUGUCUGCGUCUCUCUGCUCCACCUUUCUCCCCGAAAACUCGAGGGCCGGAAGUAGAGCUGACUUGUGUUCACCCACGUUUGCUGUCUUAGCCUCUGCCUGACGCAUAGUGUGUGCACACUGACUAUUUAAUGAAUAAAUGGACAAAUGCCUCCAUGGCACGGAGUGAAAAUCAUGUCGCUUUACGGCUUAGUUUUUAUUCGCUUAUUUUGUUUGUCUUUACAUUAUUAUCUCUUUCACGGCACAUUCCUGUUCUUAGAGGACUGUGCAUUUUUAUUAUUUGUGUCAGGCACAUAGAUAAGUGCUUAAAAACAUAAUAACAAUUAGGAAAAGCCCUCUUUUGCUCUCCCUGGUGCUAGUGCAGAAUCCGUGCAGUGAUUUUGUGACUGUUUGCUCUGAGGUCCCUGGAGCCGAUAUUGCUGUGCUUGCUUUGUUUUCUGAGGGACUCGCUGAGCUGCAGAGAGAAUCUUUGAGCCUAUCUUGCUCCUGCUUUCUGCUUCCCCAUCCCUGUUGGCGAUAGGCUUUCGAAGUAGGAGGCAUGAAAUCAUGUUCCCUUUAUUGGCAGCUCUAAAGAGCAUCUGAAGCACUGGAGUGGUGAUCUUCAAACUGCUGGGGAAGAUUUGAAAGAGCACCAAUGUCUGGGCCCCACACGCGAACAGUUACAGCAAGAUCUUGGUGGUGGGUCCACCAUGGAGAUGUUUUAAAAGCUUCCAGGUAUGGAAGGAAUAACCCUCAAGAGUACUUGUGGCCUGGAAAACUUCAGAAGGGAAAUAGGGCUUUGGGACCCAGAGAUUCUCAUUUGAUUCCCUAUACUUUUUCUGUUGCCGGUGGGGCAGGCAGGAUUUAUGAGGUCUGCAGUGGGGCCAAGCAACUCAAGACUUGCUUCCUGGAGCCAGCCUUCCCCAGCUAUUUAAUUCAAGCCUAGAAGGAAGUACCAAGUCUUUGAUGUGUACUUUGGCCCAUAACUAUUUCAGUAGAGUUAAAAAGUAUUUCCCA
Molecule: non-coding RNA, 2462 nt
Organism: Leptonychotes weddellii (Weddell seal)
Lineage: Eukaryota; Metazoa; Chordata; Mammalia; Carnivora; Phocidae
Source: RefSeq, a predicted model, not a curated record